GAUGAACGCUGGCGGCGUGCCUAAUACAUGCAAGUCGAGCGAACAGACGAGGAGCUUGCUCCUCUGACGUUAGCGGCGGACGGGUGAGUAACACGUGGAUAACCUACCUAUAAGACUGGGAUAACUUCGGGAAACCGGAGCUAAUACUGGAUAAUAUAUUGAACCGCAUGGUUCAAUAGUGAAAGACGGUUUUGCUGUCACUUAUAGAUGGAUCCGCGCCGCAUUAGCUAGUUGGUAAGGUAGCGGCUUACCAAGGCAACGAUGCGUAGCCGACCUGAGAGGGUGAUCGGCCACACUGGAACUGAGACACGGUCCAGACUCCUACGGGAGGCAGCAGUAGGGAAUAUUCCGCAAUGGGCGAAAGCCUGACGGAGCAACGCCGCGUGAGUGAUGAAGGUCUUCGGAUCGUAAAACUCUGUUAUUAGGGAAGAAAAAAUGUGUAAGUAACUAUGCACGUCUUGACGGUACCUAAUCAGAAAGCAACGGCUAACUACGUG
RNAcentral lists this ribosomal RNA (497 nucleotides) under uncultured bacterium. RNAcentral's name for it is "partial 16S ribosomal RNA". It matches the Rfam family "Bacterial small subunit ribosomal RNA", at positions 28 to 507 of the family's 1533-position model. The record is from RNAcentral.